AACGAACGCUGGCGGCAGGCUUAACACAUGCAAGUCGAGCGCACCUUCGGGUGAGCGGCAGACGGGUGAGUAACGCGUGGGAAUCUACCCAGCUCUACGGAAUAACGCAGGGAAACUUGUGCUAAUACCGUAUACGUCCUUAGGGAGAAAGAUUUAUCGGAGUUGGAUGAGCCCGCGUUGGAUUAGCUAGUUGGUGGGGUAAUGGCCUACCAAGGCGACGAUCCAUAGCUGGUCUGAGAGGAUGAUCAGCCACAUUGGGACUGAGACACGGCCCAAACUCCUACGGGAGGCAGCAGUGGGGAAUAUUGGACAAUGGGCGAAAGCCUGAUCCAGCCAUGCCGCGUGAGUGAUGAAGGCCCUAGGGUUGUAAAGCUCUUUCAACGGUGAAGAUAAUGACGGUAACCGUAGAAGAAGCCCCGG
This 420-nucleotide ribosomal RNA is filed under the name uncultured bacterium. RNAcentral describes it as "bacterial SSU rRNA". It matches the Rfam family "Bacterial small subunit ribosomal RNA", at positions 29 to 496 of the family's 1533-position model. The record is from RNAcentral.